Molecule: long non-coding RNA, 673 nt
Organism: Populus trichocarpa (black cottonwood)
Lineage: Eukaryota; Viridiplantae; Streptophyta; Magnoliopsida; Malpighiales; Salicaceae
Exons: 2
Source: RefSeq, a predicted model, not a curated record
UUAAACUUCAAAUUUGUUCACACACUAAUUGACCCAAAUAAUUUGUUAGUAACUAACUGCACCUCAGCCUAUAAUCCCGUACAUGAAAUUGUCCAAUCGGGGUUCCUCCGUGUUCGCCUCAAGGAGUUUUCAGAUCUCUGGUUGCUGUGCCGCCGCCAAACCCUAAAGCUUUGAAUUGGUUCUGUUCUCUGCCGGAGUCAGAUGGAGUGUUUCCUCGGUUUUUUCUAUCCAAGGAGCCAGAGGAUGCGUCACGCAUACCACUCUAUUUGCAUACAACUCUUGGAGUUUUUUGGGAUUGGAGCGGCGAUUUGCUUUGAACAUUCCUCUUCUUGUGCAAUUCAUUAGUUGGAUCCAUCCGUUCAAAAUAUGGAGAUGUUUUUAUUCCUCUUUCAGGAAUAAUAUUCUUAUCAUGUAAGAUUAGAGGUAUUGAUGAAAAAUCAACUAGAUUUAUUUCUUAAAACAAAUUGCAAAUAACUUGGUGGAAUGUACUCUCAUACCUGGCAGUUGGGACGGUGGAAAAAAAAUGGUUCCGCUCAUUGUAUGGGCCGAUAUAUCCGUUAGCGGGCUCGGGCCUUGUAAGGCCUCUAUUCCCUUGCCCCAAUUUACUUGUAUUGUCAAGUGUCAAAAAUGAAAUGAAAUGUACCGUAUAAUCAAUUGGUGUGUGUGUGUGUGU